This 345-nucleotide ribosomal RNA is filed under the name Blastocystis sp. RNAcentral describes it as "SSU rRNA". It matches the Rfam family "Eukaryotic small subunit ribosomal RNA", at positions 477 to 838 of the family's 1831-position model. Lineage: Eukaryota; Bigyra; Opalinata; Blastocystidae. The record is from RNAcentral.
ACAAUGCGGGACUAUCAGUCUUGCAAUUGGAUUGAGAACAAUGUACAACUCUUAUCGAUAAGCCAUUGGAGGGCAAGUCUGGUGCCAGCAGCCGCGGUAAUUCCAGCUCCAAUAGCGUAUAUUAACGUUGUUGCAGUUAAAAAGCUCGUAGUUGAAGUGUGGGUGAUCCCAUCUGUGAAGCUUCGGUCUCUAGGCUACUCGUCACCCCCUUCCAGUAUCCAGUAGUGGGUAUUCAGUUACUUACUAUUGUGUGUUGGUCGUUUACUGUGAGAAAAUUAGAGUGUUCAAAGCAGGCGUUUGCUUGAAUAGAUUAGCAUGGAAUAAUAAUUGAAGGCUUUCGUGUUC